Panicum virgatum (switchgrass) is the source of this 1232-nucleotide long non-coding RNA. RefSeq lists it as uncharacterized. The transcript is spliced from 4 exons. NCBI's taxonomy places the organism in Eukaryota, Viridiplantae, Streptophyta, Magnoliopsida, Poales, Poaceae. The record is from RefSeq and is a predicted model, not a curated record.
UUUAAUAGUUGGACGACAGCUCCACCCAUCUUUAUUCUUUCUCCAGCCCCAAGCAAGGAGCUGUUCUUUUUCUGACAACUAGCUAUGUCCAAAGCCGUUAACUUGAAGCUCACUUCACUUGCAACCGAUCAAAAGGCUCGUUGCAAUGCAGUUAUGUGCUAGCUUGCGUUGAGGGUUCAUGCUCCACUAACUAGCAAAUCUAUUUCGACCACUUAUCCCUCACCACACCCUAAUUUUCGGGGGGAGAAAGUGAACGAGGUGCAAUACCAUUGCAAGUGUUUUCCGAGCACAGAAUACAUUGCAACAGUUUUCUGAACACAGGUUUCAGAUGGGCUAGAUCCUUCAGUUCUGUUUUCUUCCUCUACGGAGCAAUGGAUAUGUUCUUUUUCUAAAAAAACCAUGGCAACGGCUAUUUGCACACCAGAAAAUAGAAGAGCUCAUCAUUGCACAACAGCAAAUUCCUUGCCUUGACGAUUAAUUUUCUGUACUUCUCCCUUGCCACAACAAAUUUUCACCUGGAUAAAGUUUCUUGGGUUUUCUCCAGACAGAAUACCUUGCAGCUACCUAGCCAAACCAGAUCACAAGAGAAUUCGAAUUCGGUAUUUGUGAAGGUUCAUGCGGAGGUGCACAGAUGGGUUAUAUUUCUUGAGGUUCAUGUCUUAAUUAGCUGCCCCUUCCUAUACAGAAUUCAUCAUGCCUAAAGAGGAGCUUAAUGGUGUGUUUAACGUCAAGAGAGCGGUAGAGAAAAUAAUCCCUUACUUGGAGGAUACUGGAAGAACUGCACAUAAGGCCAUUUACUUCGAUGGACGGGACGGGCUGGCUGCUUCUGCUGUGCGCACAGUCAUAGCUAUAGCAGAGGACCCGCCCCCAUCUCUGAAGGAGAAAUUCACCAAGAUCCUCCACAUUGACUGCUCAAGGUGGAAGAGCCGGAGGGCACUCCAGAGGGCAAUCGCUGAUGAACUCGAGCUUCCUCAGAGGGUAAUGGCUGCUUUUGAUAGGGAAGAUGAGGAGGACGAUUUCAGCAUAGUAGACGAAGGUUCUAGAGCUGAGAUUGGAGAAGUCGGGGAGGUAUACUUGAGUCCCUAUUAGGGAGUAGAUACUUAGUUGUCUUCCGUAAUGGAAGCAAUGAUACAGUUGACUUGGUCAGCUGUGGCAUUCCACAACCUGGAUUCUUUGGCUCUAAGAUAUUGUGGACUUUCAGAGGAAGACUUCGGCUCAACCCAGAAAUAAAA